CUUUACUAUGCCACAGCCAAGGAAGGUGCAUCUCCAACAGGUGUUGGCAUGUUUACCAUUUCCAGGUCAUCGUCUGCUAUUUGCUUCCUUUGGUUACAAUUAUUUUAAUUAUCGGCACAGAAAUACUACUUAUCGGCACAGUAACGAAUGGUGUUAUUUUGAUAGAUUUCUUCUUUUCUGUUUAUGUGGAGGGUAUAGUCCAGAUAUAGUGUCAUUGCCAGGUAUAGCCUAGUAUAGAUUUCUGCCUUCCAAAGUACUUAUAUACAUUUAAAAUAACAUUUCUAGCUUAACUGCACAAGAUUUCUCCUUGCUUACAAACAACUGUGUAAUCAACCAUUACUCCUAAAUACUAAUA
Molecule: long non-coding RNA, 355 nt
Filed under: Androctonus crassicauda
Lineage: Eukaryota; Metazoa; Arthropoda; Arachnida; Scorpiones; Buthidae
Source: RNAcentral